Molecule: long non-coding RNA, 813 nt
Organism: Arachis stenosperma
Lineage: Eukaryota; Viridiplantae; Streptophyta; Magnoliopsida; Fabales; Fabaceae
Exons: 3
Source: RefSeq, a predicted model, not a curated record
UUAGCUUUCUAUUAUUACCUUCUAAAAGGUAGCUUAAAAUAAUGACUAGCAGGAAAGUGUGUGAUGAUUCUGAAUUAUUUUGCCUGCGCCUGUGGCCGCUACAGCAACAGCAGCACUUCAAAUUCCUACUAUUGGAAUUGGGGCCGGAGCCUUUUGUAGUGGACAGGUGCUAAAUAGUUUAUCAUGAUGAUCUUGGUAUGCUUCAACACCCCAUCAUGCAAAGGUUACACCGAAAUUUUGCAAGCAAUAUACUCGUGUCGGAGACAUUAUCAAUAAAGCCUUACUAGAGUAUAAAGAAGACGUGAUGAACGGUUCAUUCCCUGAUACUCACCAUAGUCUAUACAAAAUUAGUGAAGCAGAUGCUGAAAGUUUUUCAAAUGAGUUGCAAAAGUUAAGUUUUGACAAAGCAGCGUCUGCAGCAUCUGAAGCAGUUCAAAAGCUUAAUGCAACCAAAUAAGUUUAGUGAAGGUAACUAAACAAAUCAAUAGUAAAGUUAUGGAGGUACCCUUCAUGUUUUUUGUCAUUUGAUGUCGUCCGUCAUUUUUUGGUGGCACACCAGGUUAAAACGGAUUUGAAGCAACAUUAUAGAAUUGAAGUUCAGAUUUGACUGAUACAGAGUGAUGAUGCCACUUUCUUAGGGCAAUUUGUACCAUUUUCUUUUAGUAUCAAUUUUUUGUUCAUCAUUUUAUAUGGAACAUGAAUGAAACCUUAGGCAGAUUACAAAAGGAAAUCAUGUUCUGUAUCAAUGUAAGAGCAAAAUAUUGAAAACUGAUUUUCAUAUUCUUUUUACUAUCCAGAGAAGUGGUCCAUAAG